UUGCACGCUGGCGGCAUGCCUUACACAUGCAAGUCGAACGGUAACAGGUUAAGCUGACGAGUGGCGAACGGGUGAGUAAUGUAUCGGAACGUGCCCAGUCGUGGGGGAUAACUGCUCGAAAGAGCAGCUAAUACCGCAUACGACCUGAGGGUGAAAGCGGGGGAUCGCAAGACCUCGCGCGAUUGGAGCGGCCGAUAUCAGAUUAGGUAGUUGGUGAGGUAAAGGCUCACCAAGCCGACGAUCUGUAGCUGGUCUGAGAGGACGACCAGCCACACUGGGACUGAGACACGGCCCAGACUCCUACGGGAGGCAGCAGUGGGGAAUUUUGGACAAUGGGCGCAAGCCUGAUCCAGCCAUGCCGCGUGCGGGAAGAAGGCCUUCGGGUUGUAAACCGCUUUUGUCAGGGAAGAAAAGGUUCUGGCUAAUACCUGGGACUCAUGACGGUACCUGAAGAAUAAGCACCGGCUAACUACGUG
Molecule: ribosomal RNA, 476 nt
Filed under: uncultured bacterium
Lineage: Bacteria
Description: partial 16S ribosomal RNA
Rfam family: Bacterial small subunit ribosomal RNA
Source: RNAcentral